UCCGGUUUGUCACCGGCGGUCUCCUUAGAGUUCCCACCAUUACGUGCUGGCAACUAAGGACAAGGGUUGCGCUCGUUGCGGGACUUAACCCAACAUCUCACGACACGAGCUGACGACAGCCAUGCAGCACCUGUGUUCGAGUUCCCGAAGGCACCAAUCCAUCUCUGGAAAGUUCUCGACAUGUCAAGGCCAGGUAAGGUGGGGAUGACGUCGUACACCUGAAC
RNAcentral lists this unclassified non-coding RNA (224 nucleotides) under uncultured Lysobacteraceae bacterium. RNAcentral's name for it is "uncultured Xanthomonadaceae bacterium contains 16S-23S intergenic spacer region". The record is from RNAcentral. Lineage: Bacteria; Pseudomonadati; Pseudomonadota; Gammaproteobacteria; Lysobacterales; Lysobacteraceae.